UGAUAUGCUAAAGUGUCGGUU
Molecule: microRNA, 21 nt
Filed under: Tribolium castaneum (red flour beetle)
Lineage: Eukaryota; Metazoa; Arthropoda; Insecta; Coleoptera; Tenebrionidae
Description: tca-miR-11624c-3p
Source: miRBase by way of RNAcentral